CCGUAAACCAUUCCACCACACACUCAGCGAUGGAUGUUCGGUGAGGCGACCACAACUGUCGCGACGAGGGCAGCGGCAGCUGCGCAUGCGGACGGCAGCGGCGGAGGUGAGAAGUGACAGCGGUUAGAGUGCACUUUGUAGCUGAUUUCGGGGGAAAAGAGUAAUUACGAUGCGAAGAAGACGACCAUGGCCGUCGAGGUCGUCGUUCCCCUCAAAUCAAAUCAAACAACAGACUGAUCAUGUAGAAGAAACACAAUGUUGAUGACGAUGAUGAAGAAUUGAAGAAUAAAAUGCGUAAUGCGAUCGAUGCAAAAAUGAUGGUUAAAAAGCCCAAGCUAGAAGGAAAUAUGGGCCUAUAAUCGGGUCUGUUGGACUGAUCAAGGGGUGUUUCCAAAAAAUCGGGUGAAAAAAGAUGUAUUUCUGAAGAAAUUACAGGUCGGAAGGGCCGCAGGUCGGAAGGUCCGCUGGUCGGAAGGUCCGCAGAUCGGAAGGUCCGCUGGUCGGAAAGUCCUCAGGACGGAAGGUCUGCAGGUCGAAAGGUCCGCAGGUCGGAAGGUCCGUUGGUCGGAAAGUCCUCAGGUCGGAAGGUCCGCAGGUCGGAAGGUCCGCUUGUCGGAAAGUCUGCAAGUCGGACAAUCUAUAAGUCGGAUGGUCUGUAGGUCGGUUGGUCUGUGGGUCGGAUGGCUUGCAAGUCGGAAGGUUUGCGGCUGGAUCAACAAGUCGAGUGGUCUGCAAGUCGGGAGGUUUGCGGCUGAACCAAUAAGUCGAAAGGUCUGCGGUUGGUCCAAAAAGUCGGAAGGUCUGCGGUUGGAUAGGCGAGUCGGUUGUUGUGGAGGUCGGAUACUGUUGAGAGCGAGUGAAAGUAAUAGUGUGGUCGACUGAGGGCACGUGUCAGCGGAAGAAGAGUUAGCAGACGGUUGAAAAAGAGGCGUUGUAACCGUUCGGGCGACGGUUUCUAGUACCGUUUCUGAAGAGUAUUUAAGGAUUGGGAUUUGCAACUGACAGUGUAUCUUCAAUCAUCUUCAAUCGACAACAAGCUGCUACCCAAAAAUGCGCACUGGGUAAACUCCCGUCCGAACCUAAUACCCUGCAAAUCAAGCCCGACGGAAAAAGUGCGCACUGGGUAAACUCCCGGCCGAACCUAAUACCCUGCAAACUAGGCCCGACGGGAAAAGUGCGCACUGUGUAAACUCCCGGCCGAACCUAAUACCCUGCAAAUCAAGCCCGACGAAAAAGACACAUUAGGCGAACCAUGUGUGGCAUUGUUUCCGUCAGGGAAUUAGACAGCGCUACCGGGAAUGAAGUCUUCUAGAAAAUUGCUAAAUAUAUAAAUUAACAAAUUAAAUUAUUUUUAAAUUGCAAUUAACAUUAAAUAAUUUUUCAUUGUUCUGUUAUAUUGAUUUGUUG
Long non-coding RNA from Andrographis paniculata, 1407 nucleotides. RefSeq lists it as uncharacterized. NCBI's taxonomy places the organism in Eukaryota, Viridiplantae, Streptophyta, Magnoliopsida, Lamiales, Acanthaceae. The transcript has 4 exons. The record is from RefSeq and is a predicted model, not a curated record.